This 23-nucleotide non-coding RNA is filed under the name Arabidopsis thaliana (thale cress). Lineage: Eukaryota; Viridiplantae; Streptophyta; Magnoliopsida; Brassicales; Brassicaceae. The record is from RNAcentral.
UCAGUCGACGGAACCCUAAUUUC